Molecule: ribosomal RNA, 93 nt
Filed under: Escherichia coli
Lineage: Bacteria; Pseudomonadati; Pseudomonadota; Gammaproteobacteria; Enterobacterales; Enterobacteriaceae
Description: partial 16S ribosomal RNA
Rfam family: Bacterial small subunit ribosomal RNA
Source: RNAcentral
UUAAAUUGAAGAGUUUGAUCAUGGCUCAGAUUGAACGCUGGCGGCAGGCCUAACACAUGCAAGUCGAACGGUAACAGGAAACAGCUUGCUGUU